Non-coding RNA from Triticum aestivum (bread wheat), 134 nucleotides. NCBI's taxonomy places the organism in Eukaryota, Viridiplantae, Streptophyta, Magnoliopsida, Poales, Poaceae. The record is from Rfam.
GUAAUAUUCCCUCCAUCCCAAAAUUCUUGUCUUACAUUUGUUUAGAUACAGAUGUAUCUAACACUAAAAUGUAACUAGAUACAUCCAUUUUAGACAAAUUUAAGACAAGAAUUUUGGGACGGAGGGAGUACAAA